This 327-nucleotide ribosomal RNA is filed under the name uncultured eukaryote. Its description in RNAcentral is "partial 18S ribosomal RNA". It matches the Rfam family "Eukaryotic small subunit ribosomal RNA", at positions 1470 to 1796 of the family's 1831-position model. The record is from RNAcentral.
CCCUUAGAUGUUCUGGGCCGCACGCGCGCUACACUGACGAAUGCAACGAGCUUAUAACCUUGGCCGAAAGGUCUGGGUAAUCUCCAAAUUUCGUCGUGAUGGGGAUAGAUUAUUGCAAUUAUUGAUCUUCAACGAGGAAUGCCUAGUAAGCGCAAGUCAUCAGCUUGCGUUGAUUACGUCCCUGCCCUUUGUACACACCGCCCGUCGCUCCUACCGAUUGAAUGGUCCGGUGAAGCGCUCGGACCGCGGCCUCUUGACGGUUUUCCGUCGAUUGGCUGUGGGAAGUUCGUUAAACCUUAUCAUUUAGAGGAAGGAGAAGUCGUAACA